GUAAGAAGUGAUGGUGCAGCCAUAAAGAUGGACAAUCUUCAAGCUAAAAAAAAAAGAAGUGAAAAGAAUGAGCCUAGAUUCUAAGCAUGGUUUCCCUUUUCCCCAGAGAUCUGAACCACAGAUAAUGAGUUUACUUCACUGUGAUAAUAAAUCGAAGAACAAAUGGUUAUUGGCCAUUCCAGAAAGAGUCACUUCUUGGUAACUGUAACAGAGAACACACAAGAUAGGAACUCAACAACUUACACAGAGAAAUCCUGUGAAGAACAUAGAGUUUGCACCUCUCCAAGUGGGAAGAAAUCUAUCAUUUUGGUCAAACUGAUUAGGAGCAGAUUCUUUUUUCCAAUAAAGAGUUCUUGCCUCUUUCCAAUAAAGAGUUCUUGCCUCUUGCCUCUUUUAUAUUCUAUUUAUAUAUAUAUAUAUAUAUAUAUAUAUAUAUAUAUAUAUAUAUAUAUAUAUAUAUAUAGGUCUUUGUUAAAUUUAAAGACAAAGAUGUACCCAAAUGGAUUAAAAGCCCAUUUCAAAUGCCUGUGGCCCACAGAUUGGCAAUUAAAGAUUAUUUUUAAAAUAACUUUUUUCUUUUUUUUUAAUUUAUUUUUUAUUGGUGUUCAAUUUACUAACAUACAGAAUAACCCCCAGUGCCCAUCACCCAUUCACCCCCGCCCCCCGCCCUCCUCCCCUUCUACCACCCCUAGUUCGUUUCCCAGAGUUAGCAGUCUUUACGUUCUGUCUCCCUUUCUGAUAUUUCCCACACAUUUCUUCUACCUUCCCUUAUUUUCCCUUUCACUAUUAUUUAUAUUCCCCAAAUGA
Molecule: long non-coding RNA, 807 nt
Filed under: Canis lupus familiaris (dog)
Lineage: Eukaryota; Metazoa; Chordata; Mammalia; Carnivora; Canidae
Description: lncRNA (ENSCAFG00030003685.1)
Source: RNAcentral